Molecule: long non-coding RNA, 668 nt
Filed under: Setaria viridis
Lineage: Eukaryota; Viridiplantae; Streptophyta; Magnoliopsida; Poales; Poaceae
Description: long non-coding RNA (SVIR_LNC009239)
Source: RNAcentral
GAGUAUUUAAUUGGAAGGAGCGGUAAGCUGGUAACAAGAAGAAUUAAUUUGUGGGAGAGAAGAUUACAAUGUUCUUAAUCAUUUUCUUUGUUUGUGUAUCAAAGGAAAAUAUGGCAUCUAAGGGCAAGUACAUUGGUGCUAUUUAAUAAGCGGUCGCAUUGACACGUAAUAUUGAGACAACUUAACAGACAACAUAUACAAUGACUUAUCUUUUUAAGUUGUCUAGUUCUAUUUCCUUAAUUUGUGCAUAUAAAAAAACAAAUAUAUGAGUUGCAUGGAAACCAAAUCUUGUACAAUGGUGGAUUAGUCAUCUCAUAGUCCUAAAACCUAACCUAUGAGGUGGUUGUUUCACGAAACAACGACCUCUUUCUCUCUCCUCACCCUCUCUUCUUCACAUCAGCAAAAAUACUACGUGGCAUUGCAUGAGAUGACCUAUGAGACCGUUGAUGUGUGUAGUAAUGUGCUCAGCCUAAAGAAAAAUGGAGAGAGUACUGUGUAAGAGAAAAGGGAGAGCCUAUGACAACCCUAGCGCAUUAAGAAAAAAGAUUUCAUCAUAUGAGAAUAGUCCUCCCACAAGACGUAACGAAUAGGAAAAUUAAUUUCACCCUCAUGUCUUCACUCCGAUAUCUCUCCAUGAGUAUGUUGGGGUUUAAAAUAUUAUUUUCGCG